Molecule: long non-coding RNA, 243 nt
Filed under: Brassica napus (rape)
Lineage: Eukaryota; Viridiplantae; Streptophyta; Magnoliopsida; Brassicales; Brassicaceae
Description: long non-coding RNA (BNAP_LNC000578)
Source: RNAcentral
GUUUUGAAUAACUCGGUUAAAUUUGAUAUUUUUGGUAAGUAGCACGCCGGUCUCGAGAGAGGAAGAAACUAGUGUUACAACAUCAUUCCAUGCAAUCUUAUAUUUAGAACUUUUUUAACUCUCUUCCUCACUAUAGGAAAGCUGCAUAUAUACUUUCAAUUUCCUUCAACCAUUGACUCGGAAGCCAAAAUGCUGAGUACCAAAAAUUCACCAUACUGAUGAUGCUGAUUUGAGGAGUUGUAA